UACGUAGGGGGCGAGCGUUGUCCGAAUUCACUGGGCGUAAAGCGCGCGUAGGCGGACUUUUAAGUCAGGGGUGAAAUGCCGAGGCUCAACCUCGGAACUGCCUUUGAAACUGGGAGUCUUGAGGUAUGGAGAGGGAAGUGGAAUUCCAGUUGUAGCGGUGAAAUGCGUAGAUAUCUGGAGGAACACCGGUGGCGAAGGCGGCUUCCUGGCCAUAUCCUGACGCUGAGGUGCGAAAGCUAGGGGAGCGAACGGG
Molecule: ribosomal RNA, 253 nt
Filed under: uncultured bacterium
Lineage: Bacteria
Description: partial 16S ribosomal RNA
Rfam family: Bacterial small subunit ribosomal RNA
Source: RNAcentral